This 253-nucleotide ribosomal RNA is filed under the name uncultured bacterium. Its description in RNAcentral is "partial 16S ribosomal RNA". It matches the Rfam family "Bacterial small subunit ribosomal RNA", at positions 524 to 776 of the family's 1533-position model. The record is from RNAcentral.
CACGUAGGGGGCGAGCGUUGUUCGGAAUUACUGGGCGUAAAGGGCAUGUAGGCGGCUCUGUAAGCCUGGCGUGAAAGUCACCGGCUCAACCGGUGGAUUGCGUUGGGAACUGUAGGGCUUGAAUCACGGAGAGGGAGCUGGAAUUCCAGGUGUAGGGGUGAAAUCUGUAGAGAUCUGGAAGAACACCAGUGGCGAAGGCGAGCUCCUGGCCGAUGAUUGACGCUGAGGUGCGAAAGUGUGGGGAUCAAACAGG